GUGAUUGGUUCCGUCAUAAGUAUGGUGUGAAGAACAAAUCAAAGGUUAUUCUUUGUCAUGAUAUUUUACUAAUAUUUAUUCAUAUAUUCAUAUGGUAUUGUUUAGUCCAAUAACUAAAGUAUUUUUUUCUUUUGGUUCCCAAGGUUGAUAAAGAUGAGAUACAAAUCAACUUGAAGAUUUGAUAUCAUUUUGGUUUUUUCGGCUGGUUUGUGUACAUGAAGCUGAUGAGUGAUUUGUUGACUUGUGUGAUAUGUUGAAUUAUGCUGACUUUUGCUACACCUUGAAGAUUUGAUAUCAUUUUGGUUUUUU
RNAcentral lists this long non-coding RNA (309 nucleotides) under Medicago truncatula (barrel medic). RNAcentral describes it as "long non-coding RNA (MTRU_LNC002157)". The record is from RNAcentral. Lineage: Eukaryota; Viridiplantae; Streptophyta; Magnoliopsida; Fabales; Fabaceae.